RNAcentral lists this Y RNA (112 nucleotides) under Meriones unguiculatus (Mongolian gerbil). RNAcentral describes it as "Y RNA (ENSMUGG00000021114.1)". It matches the Rfam family "Y RNA". From Rfam's summary of the family: Y RNAs are components of the Ro ribonucleoprotein particle (Ro RNP), in association with Ro60 and La proteins. The Y RNAs and Ro60 and La proteins are well conserved, but the function of the Ro RNP is not known. Lineage: Eukaryota; Metazoa; Chordata; Mammalia; Rodentia; Muridae. The record is from RNAcentral.
GGCUGGUCUGAAGGUAGUGAGUUAUCUCGAUUGAUUGUUCAUAGUCAGUUACAGACUGAACUCCUGUUCUAUGCUUUCCCUCCUUCUCACUACUGCACUUGACUAGUGCAAA